Molecule: non-coding RNA, 31 nt
Filed under: Rattus norvegicus (Norway rat)
Lineage: Eukaryota; Metazoa; Chordata; Mammalia; Rodentia; Muridae
Source: RNAcentral
UUACAGAUGGCCCCAAAGACUCUGGAGCAGA